Molecule: long non-coding RNA, 413 nt
Organism: Triticum dicoccoides
Lineage: Eukaryota; Viridiplantae; Streptophyta; Magnoliopsida; Poales; Poaceae
Exons: 3
Source: RefSeq, a predicted model, not a curated record
CGUAUCCAUCCAGCAGCACGCUGGCAUCCCAAUCAUCACCUUCCGCGGCGUCAUCGCCCAGGCUCAGUCUGGGGCCGGCAAGACGUCCAUGAUCUCCCUCUUCGUUUGCCAGGUUAUCGAGACCAACAUCCACAAGCAUUAGCGACGACAUGGACAUGGGCUUCACUGACAGGAAGAACUUGCUCAUGGACCGCAGGACCAUGGCUCCCAAGAUCGACGACCUCAGGUCUCAGCCGUGCCUUUAGGGUUCCUCUCAAGAAUUACACACAAGUUUCUUACUCGAGGUACCGACCCUGAGGUCCUUCUUGGUGCCGCAUGUGAUUGGUGGGCUGCAUUUUUUAAGUUGGUAUGAUGAACUGGACUUUGUAAAUGAGCACAUAUAUACACUGAAUCCUGGUAAAUGGCAGCUGAAU